UGGGGAAUAUUGGACAAUGGGCGAAAGCCUGAUCCAGCCAUGCCGCGUGUGUGAAGAAGGUCUUCGGAUUGUAAAGCACUUUAAGUUGGGAGGAAGGGCAUUAACCUAAUACGUUAGUGUUUUGACGUUACCGACAGAAUAAGCACCGGCUAACUCUGUGCCAGCAGCCGCGGUAAUACAGAGGGGGCAAGCGUUAAUCGGAAUUACUGGGCGUAAAGCGCGCGUAGGUGGUUUGUUAAGUUGGAUGUGAAAUCCCCGGGCUCAACCUAGGAACUGCAUUCAAAACUGACUGACUAGAGUAUGGUAGAGGGUGGUGGAAUUUCCUGUGUAGCGGUGAAAUGCGUAGAUAUAGGAAGGAACACCAGUGGCGAAGGCGACCACCUGGACUAAUACUGACACUGAGGUGCGAAAGCGUGGGGAGCAAACA
This 427-nucleotide ribosomal RNA is filed under the name uncultured bacterium. RNAcentral's name for it is "partial 16S ribosomal RNA". It matches the Rfam family "Bacterial small subunit ribosomal RNA", at positions 355 to 774 of the family's 1533-position model. The record is from RNAcentral.